AAGACUAUGCUUUCAGGGAUCAUUUUUGUAGUG
RNAcentral lists this small nuclear RNA (33 nucleotides) under Cervus elaphus hippelaphus. Lineage: Eukaryota; Metazoa; Chordata; Mammalia; Artiodactyla; Cervidae. The record is from RNAcentral.